This 238-nucleotide long non-coding RNA is filed under the name Mytilus galloprovincialis (Mediterranean mussel). The record is from RNAcentral. Lineage: Eukaryota; Metazoa; Mollusca; Bivalvia; Mytilida; Mytilidae.
GGGGCAAGUAUGGACACAACAUUCAAGCUGGAUUCAGUUCUAAAUUUGGAUUGUGAUUAAAUAGUUGACACAGCAUAGGUUUCUGACACAGAAUGAAUGUGGUCUAAUGAACUUAAAGUUUUUGUUUUGCCUUUGAGCAAUUCACUAUGCUGUUGAAUAUUAAUCCUCUCAAAAAAUUGUUUGAAGAAAUUUUCUUUUUAUUUAUGAAAUCUGAAAUGAGAAAAAUUGACCCCCCCCC